UCGACGAUGAACCACCUUCGGGUGGGGAUUAGUGGCGAACGGGUGAGUAACACGUGGGCAAUCUGCCCUUCACUCUGGGACAAGCCCUGGAAACGGGGUCUAAUACCGGAUACUGACCUGCCAAGGCAUCUUGGCGGGUCGAAAGCUCCGGCGGUGAAGGAUGAGCCCGCGGCCUAUCAGCUUGUUGGUGAGGUAAUGGCUCACCAAGGCGACGACGGGUAGCCGGCCUGAGAGGGCGACCGGCCACACUGGGACUGAGACACGGCCCAGACUCCUACGGGAGGCAGCAGUGGGGAAUAUUGCACAAUGGGCGAAAGCCUGAUGCAGCGACGCCGCGUGAGGGAUGACGGCCUUCGGGUUGUAAACCUCUUUCAGCAGGGAAGAAGCGAAAGUGACGGUACCUGCAGAAGAAGCGCCGGCUAACUACGUGCCAGCAGCCGCGGUAAUACGUAGGGCGCAAGCGUUGUCCGGAAUUAUUGGGCGUAAAGAGCUCGUAGGCGGCUUGUCACGUCGGUUGUGAAAGCCCGGGGCUUAACCCCGGGUCUGCAGUCGAUACGGGCAGGCUAGAGUUCGGUAGGGGAGAUCGGAAUUCCUGGUGUAGCGGUGAAAUGCGCAGAUAUCAGGAGGAACACCGGUGGCGAAGGCGGAUCUCUGGGCCGAUACUGACGCUGAGGAGCGAAAGCGUGGGGAGCGAACAGGA
Molecule: ribosomal RNA, 700 nt
Filed under: Bacillota bacterium
Lineage: Bacteria; Bacillati; Bacillota
Description: bacterial SSU rRNA
Rfam family: Bacterial small subunit ribosomal RNA
Source: RNAcentral